This 488-nucleotide ribosomal RNA is filed under the name uncultured bacterium. Its description in RNAcentral is "partial 16S ribosomal RNA". It matches the Rfam family "Bacterial small subunit ribosomal RNA", at positions 28 to 507 of the family's 1533-position model. The record is from RNAcentral.
GAUGAACGCUAGCGGCAGGCUUAACACAUGCAAGUCGAGGGGCAGCAUAAUGGAUAGCAAUAUCUAUGGUGGCGACCGGCGCACGGGUGCGUAACGCGUAUGCAACCUACCUUUAACAGGGGGAUAACACUGAGAAAUUGGUACUAAUACCCCAUAAUAUCAUAGAAGGCAUCUUUUAUGGUUGAAAAUUCCGAUGGUUAGAGAUGGGCAUGCGUUGUAUUAGCUAGUUGGUGGGGUAACGGCUCACCAAGGCGACGAUACAUAGGGGGACUGAGAGGUUAACCCCCCACACUGGUACUGAGACACGGACCAGACUCCUACGGGAGGCAGCAGUGAGGAAUAUUGGUCAAUGGACGCAAGUCUGAACCAGCCAUGCCGCGUGCAGGAUGACGGCUCUAUGAGUUGUAAACUGCUUUUGUACGAGGGUAAACGCAGAUACGUGUAUCUGUCUGAAAGUAUCGGACGAAUAAGGAUCGGCUAACUCCGUG